GGAAGCACGGUUCUGCCUUCUCAUGAAGGUGACACGGCCGAGGAUGGUCGGUGACAGGACUCCACACGCCACAUGUGACAGGGACUCGGGCUAGAGCACUCGGCUCCCUCCCUUCCCUGGAAGCGCACGUGACACUUCCAGGCUGCUACCCUGUGCAGGGAGACUGGAAUAUUUGUGGCCACCUCUCUCCGCACCUCUCCUCUCCCCACUCGUGAAUAGAGAGAGAUGCUCGUGUCACCUGGACCCACAGUGGGCAGAGCAGCUGGCCUCCUUUGCCCGGUCUCCUGUUCCUCCGGCACCGAUGACAUGAACUCCUCUGAGAGACAGGCACAUCCUGCAGGUGGAGAAGGGUGAGGAGGGAGGGCAGCCACCCCCAGAGGAGGGAGAUGGGGCCGUCCCAGCACCACAGCGGAGCCCAGGGAGAGCAGGUGCCAGGAGGUGCCAGGAGGAAACCGAGGCAGAGAGGCCCGUACGGUCUCAGGUCGUGUGGGUGCUCUGGGAGGCAGGUGAAACUUGCACACCAGCUCCCCCCAGGCCUGGUUCCGUGGCCACUGGUAGACUGUAGCGGGGACCUUGGUCCAGCAUCACCCAUAAGCUCCAGUCUUUGCACGACGCUCUAGCACCCCGCUUGCUGUGUGUGAGGACUCAGGCUUGCUGUGGGCACCUGCACACUCCUCUUGUUUUAAUAAGCGGACAGCAGUGAUGACAGGAGGCUACCUCAUCAGGCCUUCAGCCACCCCCACCUGCUAGGGCCAGUCAGGAGAAUGGGGACCAGAUGCUCGUCCUCACGCUGGCCCCACAGCCCGCCUUGGAAGUGCCUGGGUAUUUACCAUUUCCUCCUCUCUGGCAUCCGGGGCUGUGACCCUGUGGUCAUCCCACCUGGCAGGACAGAGACACCCAGCGUGUGCCACACCUCCUCCCAGGCACCGGGAUCAGCUACCAACCCUGCCCUUGGCUCCCGCCUUUCUUACAGGACUGCUGUGCUGGCAGGGUGCCCCCCAGAGAGCACCCUAUUCCUUCAAGGUGCAAACUCAGAUGACAGAGUGUGCUGA
Molecule: long non-coding RNA, 1052 nt
Filed under: Fukomys damarensis (Damara mole-rat)
Lineage: Eukaryota; Metazoa; Chordata; Mammalia; Rodentia; Bathyergidae
Description: lncRNA (ENSFDAG00000030476.1)
Source: RNAcentral